GUGUUCAAUUAAAGGAGAGAUGGUUGUCAUCUCCCAUGACGGGUCGGGAACAGCCUCUCCCUAUUAAUAAUACGGAUACUUUUUUU
Molecule: non-coding RNA, 86 nt
Filed under: Cucumis sativus (cucumber)
Lineage: Eukaryota; Viridiplantae; Streptophyta; Magnoliopsida; Cucurbitales; Cucurbitaceae
Source: RNAcentral